GACGAACGCUGGCGGCGUGCUUAACACAUGCCAGUCGAACGGAAAGGUCCUGCUUUUGUGGGGUGCUCGAGUGGCGAACGGGUGAGUAACACGUGAGUAACCUGCCCUUGACUUUGGGAUAACUUCAGGAAACUGGGGCUAAUACCGGAUAGGAGCUCCUGCUGCAUGGUGGGGGUUGGAAAGUUUCGGCGGUUGGGGAUGGACUCGCGGCUUAUCAGCUUGUUGGUGGGGUAGUGGCUUACCAAGGCUUUGACGGGUAGCCGGCCUGAGAGGGUGACCGGCCACAUUGGGACUGAGAUACGGCCCAGACUCCUACGGGAGGCAGCAGUGGGGAAUAUUGCACAAUGGGCGGAAGCCUGAUGCAGCAACGCCGCGUGCGGGAUGACGGCCUUCGGGUUGCAAACCGCUUUCGCCUGUGACGAAGCGUGAGUGACGGUAAUGGGUAAAGAAGCACCGGCUAACUACGUG
This 468-nucleotide ribosomal RNA is filed under the name uncultured bacterium. RNAcentral's name for it is "partial 16S ribosomal RNA". It matches the Rfam family "Bacterial small subunit ribosomal RNA", at positions 28 to 507 of the family's 1533-position model. The record is from RNAcentral.